AAAUGCAGCUAGAGUGCCAGCCACAGUCUCUCCACACACAGCAAGACAUAGGCAAUAACUGGCUUGCAGGCAGCCCCUGUCGCCAGGGAGCCCAUCAAACAAAUGCUGUGUUUGCUAUGCAUCAGCUUAAUUGUUACAUCUGCACUAUUCGAGAAAAGUUUGUCUUGAAAUAAUGGAGUGGUGAAGUGGUCCCAGGCAUUCAGUCCUCCCGUUCUGGGCUGUUGGACCUGAGUGCUGCCUGAACUGCUUUCCUUCUCUUUCUCUCAGCCAGAUGGUUGUCUGGUUCUUCCUCUUUUGCUUUUGAAAGAUGGCAAGGGCCAUCUCUGUGGACAGGUCAGUCUUUUUUCUUUUUUUUUCCUCCAUCAUUUUCUGGUGUUAUCAACAUGGAUAUAGAAACAUACCCAAACACUUUUUUUUUUUUUUUUUUUUGCAGUGUCUUGAGUGAUGUUUUCAGUGCUUGGCUUAAAAAUUUCCAGCUCCUAUUUUAAAAGUGAUUCCACCAAUGUCACCACCAGUCAUUCUGAGGACUUCAUAAUUGACACUGCAGCUGAAUUUAUACCCUACCUCAUUGGAGUGCUCUGUUUUGCUCUUCUAAUGCAGUGCUAUCUGAUAAUUUAAAAUCAUACUUCUGUUUUUCCAUUCCUUCUCCCAAGUCAGCAGCUUAACAUCUUGGAUACUGAAACACUUAAGUCCUAUUUUUGGCUCAGCAAAUGUUUUAGAGCAUGGCAACAAAAAGAAGUGGAGCCAACCAAAAGUUUGAAUUCUGUGUUUUGAUUUUAUAAUUUUAAUAUCAGUUCAGUACUAGUAUAGAAUUAAUACAAAUAGAUCUUUAAAAAGACUAGUCUUUUUCUGAAUAGCUGUGACUUUAGUUUGCAUAAUUAACAUACCUCCAGACCACGUUUAUUUAGUCAGACCAUUUCUGAUUAAAAUUAAAAUCUUUGCAAUUACUGAGGCAAAAGCAUCUCUAAAAUUUAGGUGCAUUUUAGACUCUUACAUUCAGAGAGAGCUUUUCAGCAGAGGAAAGUGUUUCAUUCUCUCUUCUUAAAUUUUCCGGCUGACAUAAUCUCUGUCACUCCAGAACGAUGAAAAUAACUUCUGACUGAAAAAUACAAUUUUUCAAAGGAAAAAUGAGAUUCUGAUUUUUCACCUGCCAGCUGCAAUAUUAAAAGCAGUUAAGAUCAAGAGUGAGAGGACACUGCUACAGUUACGUAUCUGCUUCUUAGUGAACACAAUUUAGUAAAAGGGCAAUAGAUCCAAUAUAUCUGCAAAUGGAAUCUUACUUAACUUCACUUUCUUGCUCUGAACAGUUUGUCAAAAUCUGCAGUGGAAUAGUGAAAAGGUGUACUGAUUCCUAGCAAUGUACUGGAGGAAGUGGCCACUCUGAGAGCUUAUUUUGUGAUCUUUCAUGAGCACCCGGUUAACACACAUCUUGUAAUGCAAUCACAGUAGUAGAAAAGCUAUUGUGACAACUUCCGGAUUUUUAUUCAAAUUCAUUUUAUUAUGAGUUGAUCCCAUUAUAAAUUCUUAUAGUUUUUUUAAGUUCCAUAUAACUUAUUACUUAUUAAAAUGAAGUUCAGUAAGCAAUCUGUGCUCUAGCUUGAAUCCAAG
Phasianus colchicus (ring-necked pheasant) is the source of this 1608-nucleotide long non-coding RNA. The record is from Ensembl. NCBI's taxonomy places the organism in Eukaryota, Metazoa, Chordata, Aves, Galliformes, Phasianidae.